Molecule: unclassified non-coding RNA, 101 nt
Filed under: synthetic construct
Source: RNAcentral
UAUUUUAAUAUGGACUGAUGCCCCCAUAUUAAAUCCAAGCCUGUCGUCGCCAUAUUGAACCCUCUUCUCAAUCUCCCAUAUUAUCGCCUGUAGAUCUGUCC